RNAcentral lists this ribosomal RNA (465 nucleotides) under uncultured Klebsiella sp. RNAcentral describes it as "bacterial SSU rRNA". It matches the Rfam family "Bacterial small subunit ribosomal RNA", at positions 338 to 795 of the family's 1533-position model. The record is from RNAcentral. Lineage: Bacteria; Pseudomonadati; Pseudomonadota; Gammaproteobacteria; Enterobacterales; Enterobacteriaceae.
CCUACGGGUGGCUGCAGUGGGGAAUAUUGCACAAUGGGCGCAAGCCUGAUGCAGCCAUGCCGCGUGUGUGAAGAAGGCCUUCGGGUUGUAAAGCACUUUCAGCGGGGAGGAAGGCGUUAAGGUUAAUAACCUUGUCGAUUGACGUUACCCGCAGAAGAAGCACCGGCUAACUCCGUGCCAGCAGCCGCGGUAAUACGGAGGGUGCAAGCGUUAAUCGGAAUUACUGGGCGUAAAGCGCACGCAGGCGGUCUGCCAAGUCGGAUGUGAAAUCCCCGGGCUCAACCUGGGAACUGCAUUCGAAACUGGCAGGCUAGAGUCUUGUAGAGGGGGGUAGAAUUCCAGGUGUAGCGGUGAAAUGCGUAGAGAUCUGGAGGAAUACCGGUGGCGAAGGCGGCCCCCUGGACAAAGACUGACGCUCAGGUGCGAAAGCGUGGGGAGCAAACAGGAUUAGAUACCCGGGUAGUC